GAUGAAGAACGCAGCGAAAUGCGAUACGUAAUGUGAAUUGCAGAAUUCAGUGAAUCAUCGAAUCUUUGAACGCAUAUUGCGCUCUUUGGUAUUCCGAAGAGCAUGCUUGUUUGAGUAUCAGUAAACACCUCAAAGCUUUUGGAUUUUUUUUUUGAAAGCUUUGGACUUGAGCAAUCCCAACACCAAUCUUUUUCAGAUCGGCGGCGGGUUGCUUGAAAUGCAGGUGCAGCUGGACUUUCUCCUGAGCUAAAAGCAUAUUCAUUUAGUCCCGUCAAACGGAUUAUUACUUUUGCUGCAGCUAACAUAAAGGGAGUUUGACCGCAUUGGCUGACUGAUGCAGGAUUUCACAAGGGUCGGCAACGAUUCUUGUUAAACUCGAUCUCAAAUCAAGUAAGACUACCCGCUGAACUUAAGCAUAUCAAUAAGCGGAGGA
Molecule: unclassified non-coding RNA, 433 nt
Filed under: soil metagenome
Description: partial contains 5.8S ribosomal RNA, internal transcribed spacer 2, and large subunit ribosomal RNA
Rfam family: 5.8S ribosomal RNA (bases 1-120)
Source: RNAcentral